RNAcentral lists this ribosomal RNA (450 nucleotides) under uncultured bacterium. RNAcentral describes it as "partial 16S ribosomal RNA". It matches the Rfam family "Bacterial small subunit ribosomal RNA", at positions 354 to 796 of the family's 1533-position model. The record is from RNAcentral.
GUGGGGAAUUUUGGACAAUGGGCGAAAGCCUGAUCCAGCAAUGCCGCGUGCAGGAAGAAGGCCUUCGGGUUGUAAACUGCUUUUGUACGGAACGAAACGGUCCGGGUUAAUACCCUGGGCUAAUGACGGUACCGUAAGAAUAAGCACCGGCUAACUACGUGCCAGCAGCCGCGGUAAUACGUAGGGUGCAAGCGUUAAUCGGAAUUACUGGGCGUAAAGCGUGCGCAGGCGGUUUUGUAAGACAGGCGUGAAAUCCCCGGGCUCAACCUGGGAAUUGCGCUUGUGACUGCAAGGCUGGAGUGCGGCAGAGGGGGAUGGAAUUCCGCGUGUAGCAGUGAAAUGCGUAGAUAUGCGGAGGAACACCGAUGGCGAAGGCAAUCCCCUGGGCCUGCACUGACGCUCAUGCACGAAAGCGUGGGGAGCAAACAGGAUUAGAAACCCGGGUAGUCC